Pimephales promelas (fathead minnow) is the source of this 1227-nucleotide non-coding RNA. The record is from RefSeq and is a predicted model, not a curated record. Lineage: Eukaryota; Metazoa; Chordata; Actinopteri; Cypriniformes; Leuciscidae.
AUCUUCUAUAUCUGCCCCUUUAUACGCAAUAAAUCCGGUUUUAUUAUUAUUAGAGGCCAUGUCUCUGACGUGGAACUGAACACUGUAGCAUAAUAAGAACAGGGCUCAUGUGUUUUUGUGCCUAAUGGCCUGUGAUUUUUCUGCCCCAUUGCAGCUAGGAGAAAAGCAGCCUAAUUUCCAGUGAAAAGCAAAGCUGAAUUCUGUUCCCUGAUUGGUUGCACUGUCGGUUCUUCAUAUGAGAGUCAUGCCUAAACACACACACACAGAGAAAGUUUAGAAAAUGUCUGUCUAACCUCAACUCUAUCUCUCUAGCUCUCUAAGCUACCAAUCUCAAAUGAAGAACAUUGCCGAGUGCUACGACUUAACAUGGAGUUCAGAGGCGGGUUUGCACAACAAACAGAUGUUCUUUGAUGUCAGCUGCAGUGAGGGGGUGGCAAAAAAUGGGAACGCUAAAAAGAAGUAGGAAGGUGUCAGAACUCUAAUCACCAUGCAGCGUUUGGAAAGAAAAUCUAUUAUAUUUCUUAGCACAAACACAGGCUUUGAGUCACAGUUACAACGCCGGCUUGCUGAUCCAGAGACAAUGGAUGGAAGUUGCAGUUGCUCGCCCCGAGGCACUGUCAUUUGAAGUUGAGAAAGAGCUGUAAGAUGUGGAAAUGACCUCUGAAGAUCAAACAAGUAUCCCUUUCCACUGUGUUACAAGGAAAGAGGAAGAAAUGACAUGCUGAGACAUCAGUCCAGUCAAAAAAAAAAAAAAUGCUCAAAGGUGUGAAGAGAGCGCCUCGGUUAGGAAGUUGCAGUGUGAAGGGGGCAGAGACGGAAAAAAGGAAGGGUGUGAGGUAAGACGGUUGACUCAAAUCAGACGGCAGCAGAGGCCAGGCCUGGUCAUACUCUAUACAGCUCGAGGUUUUCUGGACCUGCUGUGCUUAGAGGGGAAAGCACGCCACAUUCUGCUGCAUUCCAUCCACACAUGUCUCAAAUCAGCACUGGACACCAGCUCCAAAUCAGAGUUUAAGCCAGAUAAUGUGAAGUUAGCAGAUGAAGGAAAACUGGGAGAGGAUCAUAAAUGGCUUUUAAAUAGUACUAAAACUUUACCCCAUAUCCACUGACAGAGCUCUAUCCAAUCUGGCCAUAUUAUGCACAUUUUCUACAAAAGGUCGUUCUGGGCUGAAAACAUUUGGAUUAAAAGUGAAGUGUGUCUGAAAAUACCUAUUUGUUUUGCUGCUGCCA